This 24-nucleotide non-coding RNA is filed under the name Arabidopsis thaliana (thale cress). The record is from RNAcentral. Lineage: Eukaryota; Viridiplantae; Streptophyta; Magnoliopsida; Brassicales; Brassicaceae.
UGAGCUAAAUGGAUGAACGAUGAA